This is a long non-coding RNA of Sciurus carolinensis (gray squirrel), 1453 nucleotides long. RefSeq lists it as uncharacterized. The transcript is spliced from 4 exons. The record is from RefSeq and is a predicted model, not a curated record. Lineage: Eukaryota; Metazoa; Chordata; Mammalia; Rodentia; Sciuridae.
CUCUCCCCCUUUCUAACCGACUCCCCGCCGGCACACCUGGUGAAAAAGCAAGGUGCGAGUGUACCUGGGGCGAACACCAUGAUUUCCUUCAGCUCCUGGGUUAAGAGAGAAAGACAGGCAGACGAUGGGUAGGAGGAAGGCCAGGACUUGGCGGGGUCGGGUGCAGGUGGACGCGCAGGGCGCCGGCGGGCCGCGGGCGGGACGGUCAGCACCUCGGACAGCUCCCCGCCGCGCGAUCCCGGGCCGCAGCUCCAGCCACCGCUGCGCGCUCUGCCUCCACAAUGCACUGCUGCGCCCGCGGCCACCGCGGCGGCGGAAGGAGGAGACCGAAUCCCCGCUCAGUUCAUCGCUCAUUCCUGUGCCAGAUCGGCGUAUGCUGCUGCUGAGGAGCAGAGCACUUCUACCGCUUGCAUGGGAAGAGGAAGGACGGAAGGAGAAGAGAGAGAAAGCAAAGGAGCUUUCAUCCUGAUAUGUCAAUGCGUAUCAAGUGGUAGUAAAGAAGGAAACUGGAUCCCAUAAGAACUUAUCACAAGACACCUGACCUCUUUCUGGUACAGAGGGAUAUGCAACAAGGAAGACUUAUCUGAAGAGUGGACAUUUGCCUGAGUCAUAAAGGCUCCAGGAAAGUGCACCACCACAAUGGUGACUUUGUCUGCAAGCAUCAUCCAUGUAACUGAAGAAAUGUCUGCUGAUGAUUCACGAUGACCAGCCUGAAAAGAACCCUUCACAGGUUUCUUAGUGACUUUUCUCACUCUUUGAAGCUGCUUUAAGCACAGAUGCCUUCCUCACUCUCAGAUGCUCUUGCCUCCUUCUCAGGCCACAGAUGGCAGUACCCUCUCCCUCCCAGAACCAGCCCUAUAAACAGCUGUAGGAAUACAGCCUCUCUUUUAUUCUCUCCAUUGUGGCAGAAGAGGGAUGCUUCUAUCUACCCAAGGUCUGUCCUUCCAUCUGCCCUCACAUCUUCCCCUCCCACCUCAGAUAAAGUGCUACCAUGAGUUAUCUCCUUUGUCCCCAGAGUGCUCAGCUGGCCUCUCUCACCUGGAGUCUUUCCAUCAGCAUUUAACAAGCUCAGUGCUUUCCAAACAAAAUUGAAAACCAUCUCUAAAUGCCACACCCACUUCUGCCUAUAACCAUAUUCAAGUCCAGAUUAUAUCCUUUGGAGGACCCAAGUGCAGGGGUACUCUUCCCUAUGUGUAAUUCAAAUUAUUGUUGGUUAUUGAAACAACUGACAAAAGACCAAUAAAAACAUGAGGACUUCUUUUAUUUGUUCUAAUUACAUGACAAUAAGAAGGUACUCUGACACAUCAUACAUAAAUGGAGUAUAAUUUCUCAUUCUUCUGGUUGAGCAUGACAAUCACACCGGUCAUACAGUCAUAUGAAAGCAUGAGAUUUUCAAUGAUGACUCCUUUCAUUCCUUAUUUUUGAACUGUCAAAUAUUAAAUUUUUUCCACUG